Molecule: ribosomal RNA, 458 nt
Filed under: uncultured bacterium
Lineage: Bacteria
Description: partial 16S ribosomal RNA
Rfam family: Bacterial small subunit ribosomal RNA
Source: RNAcentral
GAUAAACGCUGGCGGCGUGCAUGAGACAUGCAAGUCGAACGAAGGAUCGGGCUUGCUCGAUCCUUAGUGGCGGACGGCUGAGUAACGCGUAGGUGACCUACCCCGAAGUGGGGAAUAACUGCCCGAAAGGGUGGCUAAUACCGCAUGUGGUCGCACGUUCAUUCGUGCGAGUAAAGCCGCAAGGCGCUUCGGGAGGGGCCUGCGUCCGAUUGGCUCGUUGGUUGGGUAAUGGCUUACCAAGGCGACGAUCGGUAGGUGGUCUGAGAGGACGAUCACCCAGGAUUGAGCUGAGGCACGGCCCAGUCUCCUACGGGAGGCAGCAGGAGGGAAUUUUGCGCAAUGGGGGAAACCCUGAAGCAGCAGCGCCGCGUGAGGGAUGAAGGCCUUCGGGUUGUAAACCUCUUUUGUCAGGGACGAUGAUGACGGUACCUGGCGAAUAAGCCACGGCUAACUACGUG